UUGUGGUUAAAAAGCUCGUAGUUGGAUCUCAACAGCCUUGAAGCGGUUAACUUUGUAGUUUUACUGCUUUAUAGGCUGUGCUUUUGCUGGAGGUUUAGGGGUGCUCUUGAUCGAGUGUCUCUGGAUGCCAGCAGGUUUACUUUGAAAAAAUUAGAGUGCUCAAAGCAGGCUAAAAUGCCUGAAUAUUCGUGCAUGGAAUAAUAGAAUAGGAUGUCGAUCCUAUUUUGUUGGUUUUCGGGACUCGACAUAAUGAUAAAUAGGGACAGUCGGGGGCAUUUGUAUUCAAACGACAGAGGUGAAAUUCUUGGACCGUUUGAAGACAAACUACUGCGAAAGCAUUUGCCAAGAAUGUUUUCAUUAAUCAAGAACGAAAGUUAGAGGUUCGAAGGCGAUUAGAUACCGCCCUAGUUCUAACCAUAAACGAUGCCAGCUAGCGAUCUGCCUGCGUUUUUACUGUAGACUGGGCAGGAAGCUUCCGGGAAACCAAAGCAUUUGGGUUCCAGGGGAAGUAUGGUUGCAAAGCUGAAACUUAAAGGAAUUGACGGAAGGGCACCACCAGGAAUGGA
Molecule: ribosomal RNA, 566 nt
Filed under: uncultured marine eukaryote
Lineage: Eukaryota
Description: SSU rRNA
Rfam family: Eukaryotic small subunit ribosomal RNA
Source: RNAcentral